AUGAACUACAUAUUCAAGGGCUCUAACAGAAAGUUUGUGUUAAUUUUCAUGGAUGAUAUCUUGGUUUUAAGUGGAACUUUGGAAGAACAUGUCACUCACUUGCAAUCAGUAUUUGACAUACUGAAGGAAAACCAGUUGUUUGUAAAGGAAAGCAAGUGCUCUUUUGCACAACAGUCCAUGGAGUAUUUGGGCCACAUAAUUUCUGACAAGGGAGUAAGUACUGAUCCUGCAAAAACUGCUGCAAUGUUGCACUGGCCAACUCCGACCAAUGUGACUGAACUGAGGGGUUUUCUGGGUCUCACUGGAUACUACAAAAAAUUUGUGCAAAACUAUGGUUUACUGGCCAAGCCACUCACUACACUGCUCAAAAAACAGUCCUUCCAAUGGUCAGAGACAGCUGAUACAGCCUUUUAG
This 414-nucleotide ribosomal RNA is filed under the name Triticum aestivum (bread wheat). RNAcentral's name for it is "partial small subunit ribosomal RNA". Lineage: Eukaryota; Viridiplantae; Streptophyta; Magnoliopsida; Poales; Poaceae. The record is from RNAcentral.